GUAGGUGGCAAGCGUUGUCCGGAAUUAUUGGGCGUAAAGCGCGCGCAGGCGGUUCUUUAAGUCUGAUGUGAAAGCCCACGGCUCAACCGUGGAGGGUCAUUGGAAACUGGAGAACUUGAGUACAGAAGAGGAAAGCGGAAUUCCACGUGUAGCGGUGAGAUGCGUAGAGAUGUGGAGGAACACCAGUGGCGAAGGCGGCUUUCUGGUCUGUAACUGACGCUGAGGCGCGAAAGCGUGGGGAGCAAACAGGGAUUAGAUACCCUGGUAGUCCACGCCGUAAACGAUGAGUGCUAAGUGUUAGGGGGUUUCCGCCCCCUUAGUGCUGCAGCUAACGCAUUAAGCACUCCGCCUGGGGAGUACGGCCGCAAGGCUG
Molecule: ribosomal RNA, 373 nt
Filed under: uncultured organism
Description: partial 16S ribosomal RNA
Rfam family: Bacterial small subunit ribosomal RNA
Source: RNAcentral